Non-coding RNA from Podarcis muralis (Common wall lizard), 708 nucleotides. NCBI's taxonomy places the organism in Eukaryota, Metazoa, Chordata, Lepidosauria, Squamata, Lacertidae. The record is from RefSeq and is a predicted model, not a curated record.
GUAACCUCUCACUUGGUUACCUUCAGCUGCAAUCGUAGCUUCUGUUAAUAAAACAUUUGAAUUAUCAGAGGUGGCACUAAUAACUAACAAGUAAUCUCUAUAUGCUCUAUCGUAAUCAUAGCAGCAAUAAAGUUGUGUGUCUUCUGGCUGAAGGUGAGUAUCUUGUGCUUGGCUGAGGGGAAAAUCUCUUUUGUGUUCUGCCUGCAACUCUUUGUACAAAGAUUCUUUCAGGUCGCAGUGAGGGGGACCAUUCAAGCACCCUGAGCCUGUUGGAGAAAAGGUAGGCUCUAAGUGGAAUCAUACAUCAAAUAUGCAAACUAAAUAUUCCAAAGAGCUUGUAUUGAGCAACAUUGGUUAUUCAAUCCCUGUUUCAGAAGAGCUGCAAACUCGAAAGCCUAAUGCAGUCACUCUGCGUGCUUCUACCUGGAGGGACUUCUCUUGUCGGGACACCACUGCAGGGGAGGCCCUUUCCUGUGCCAUCACCACACAAUAAGUUCUGUCCAAGAGCCCACCACACUCAGGGGAAGCCAGCUCUUCCUGCAGAAGUCAGACCAGCAGAAGGAACUUCCAGGCCCAUGAAUUCACACUUCAGAGGGACAAACAAAAAGAAAGGAGAAAUGGAUAUGGAAAUGACCGGCAGAAUCCGAGACCAGGGAGAAGAGUCGGUGGAAGAAGAUUGGAAGAAAUUUAAAGACUAUUUACAGAAAC